ACACGUGUUGCAGAGUGGUCAAAUGCGUCGGGUUCAAGUUCCGGUCCUUCGGGUUCGUGGGUUCGACUCCCACCGCGUGUA
Transfer RNA from Ectocarpus siliculosus, 81 nucleotides. It matches the Rfam family "tRNA". From Rfam's summary of the family: Transfer RNA (tRNA) molecules are approximately 80 nucleotides in length. Their secondary structure includes four short double-helical elements and three loops (D, anti-codon, and T loops). Further hydrogen bonds mediate the characteristic L-shaped molecular structure. tRNAs have two regions of fundamental functional importance: the anti-codon, which is responsible for specific mRNA codon recognition, and the 3' end, to which the tRNAs corresponding amino acid is attached (by aminoacyl-tRNA synthetases). tRNAs cope with the degeneracy of the genetic code in two manners: having more than one tRNA (with a specific anti-codon) for a particular amino acid; and 'wobble' base-pairing, i.e. permitting non-standard base-pairing at the 3rd anti-codon position. NCBI's taxonomy places the organism in Eukaryota, Phaeophyceae, Ectocarpales, Ectocarpaceae. The record is from Rfam.